This 239-nucleotide ribosomal RNA is filed under the name uncultured bacterium. Its description in RNAcentral is "partial 16S ribosomal RNA". It matches the Rfam family "Bacterial small subunit ribosomal RNA", at positions 116 to 354 of the family's 1533-position model. The record is from RNAcentral.
CGUGAGUAACCUGCCUUGGAGUGGGGAAUAACAGCUGGAAACAGCUGCUAAUACCGCAUAAAAUAUCUGUGUCGCAUGGCACUGGAUAUCAAAGAUUUAUCGCUCUGAGAUGGACUCGCGUCUGAUUAGCUAGUUGGCGGGGUAACGGCCCACCAAGGCGACGAUCAGUAGCCGGACUGAGAGGUUGGCCGGCCACAUUGGGACUGAGACACGGCCCAGACUCCUACGGGAGGCAGCAG